RNAcentral lists this long non-coding RNA (861 nucleotides) under Lactuca sativa (garden lettuce). Its description in RNAcentral is "long non-coding RNA (LSAT_LNC004565)". The record is from RNAcentral. Lineage: Eukaryota; Viridiplantae; Streptophyta; Magnoliopsida; Asterales; Asteraceae.
GUGUCAAUGCACAUUACAAACAAACAUCCGAUUACAAUUAAAUAUCAAAAGUCAUAAUAUCCGAGUAGCAAAACAACCAAAAUUUUACAAUCUACCAAGUAGCAAAGCAUGACAACAUAUGCAAAUAAAACACAUCCUUACAUACCACCAUCUUCGUUCUCAUCGUUUCCUUGAUUAUUUUGUGAUUGAAAAAACGAAUAAAGCUCAUCCCUACAUGUCGGGUCACUGAGCAUUGCACGAAGAUUUCCAACUACAUAAUUAAUAACAACAUAUAUAAAAACUUAUAAGUUAGAUUGUCAAACAUAAACAAAAAACUAUCAAAAUACGUUGUUAUUUUAAAACUAAGAUAGAAAACCAAAGUACAUUGCUAUUUCUUGCACUUUGGACAAAAACCAAAUUAAAACACUUUUUAACAAAUAAUCACCACAAAACCAAAAUUACCAAUUCAACAUGCAUUGUACGAUGCUAAAGUAGAUUGCUAUUUUUAAACUGAGAUAAAAACCAAAGUACAUUGCUAUUUCUUGCACUUUGGACAAAAACCAAAUUAAAACACUUUUUAACAAAUAAUCACCACAAAACCAAAAUUACCAAUUCAACAUGCAUUGUACGAUGCUAAAGUAGAUUGCUAUUUUUAAACUGAGAUAAAAACCAAAGUACAUUGCUAUUUCUUGCACUUGGGACAAAAACACAACUACGAAACUUUUUAGCAAAUAAUCACCACAAAACCAAAAUUACCAAUUCAACAUGCAUUGUACGAUGCUAAAGUAGAUUGCUAUUUUUAAACUCCAAUAGAAAACUAAAGUACAUUGCUAUUUCUUGCACAUGGGACAAAAACCAAAUUACCAAACUUUACCAAAAUUA